UAGGGAAUCUUCGGCAAUGGACGAAAGUCUGACCGAGCAACGCCGCGUGAGUGAAGAAGGUUUUCGGAUCGUAAAACUCUGUUGUUAGAGAAGAACAAGGACGUUAGUAACUGAACGUCCCCUGACGGUAUCUAACCAGAAAGCCACGGCUAACUACGUGCCAGCAGCCGCGGUAAUACGUAGGUGGCAAGCGUUGUCCGGAUUUAUUGGGCGUAAAGCGAGCGCAGGCGGUUUCUUAAGUCUGAUGUGAAAGCCCCCGGCUCAACCGGGGAGGGUCAUUGGAAACUGGGAGACUUGAGUGCAGAAGAGGAGAGUGGAAUUCCAUGUGUAGCGGUGAAAUGCGUAGAUAUAUGGAGGAACACCAGUUGCGAAGGCGGCUCUCUGGUCUGUAACUGACGCUGAGGCUCGAAAGCGUGGGGAGCAAACAGG
RNAcentral lists this ribosomal RNA (429 nucleotides) under Chloroflexota bacterium. RNAcentral describes it as "Chloroflexi bacterium partial 16S ribosomal RNA". It matches the Rfam family "Bacterial small subunit ribosomal RNA", at positions 355 to 776 of the family's 1533-position model. Lineage: Bacteria; Bacillati; Chloroflexota. The record is from RNAcentral. RNAcentral also lists the same sequence under 1 other name.